GAGACUCCGUCUCCACAGCAACGACAGAAAACCAACCAGCCUGUCUGUCUCCCUUAUGGUUCUUGAAAAAAAGGGGAACUUCAACGAAAUACAAGGUUGAUCUGUCUGGAAACAGGGGAAAAGCAUCAAGAAAGGAAAAUAGGCAUAAUAUUCAGAUAGACAGUAUCCUGAAUUCAGCAAAAGAGGUCACUUUUGUCUCAACAAACUGGAAGGAGUAUGAAAAUGGAUUGCAUCAGACUUUUCCUGAAGAAACUGUCUACAGAUUCAAAGGUUAAUCUCAUUCAGAAACAGCUUCACAGACAUACCCAGAAUAAUGUUUUAGCCAAAUAUCUGGAUACUCCAUGGUCCAAUGAGGUUGACACAUAAAAUUAACCAUCACAUCUUCCUUGUUCUUUCCCAUUUUCUUACACCUGGUGCUCCAGUGCCUCUUGAGCUACCUCAUGUCUUUCCAAUAAAUGUAAUUUUGGUUUAACAUCA
Macaca mulatta (Rhesus monkey) is the source of this 477-nucleotide non-coding RNA. NCBI's taxonomy places the organism in Eukaryota, Metazoa, Chordata, Mammalia, Primates, Cercopithecidae. The record is from RefSeq and is a predicted model, not a curated record.